UCUUAUCAAUUUUUUUUUUUAAAAAUCUAAUAUGGUUUAUUAAAUCCUUAAGUUCAAGGGUGUAAGAUAUACACUCUUUUAGAUCUUUCAAUUUAGCUUGUUGUUCGUGAGUCAGCUAGAGAUGAAAACAGAUUAAAUAAGGAUGAAAAAUUUGAUGAAAUCAUAUCAGCAUCUAUAUUGUUUUCUCGAAUACGAAUUUGGAUGUGAAUAUGUGUUGGAUGCUAAAUUUUCACUAUUAAAUCCUUUUAUAAUGGAUUCAGAUAUUAUCAUAUAUUAUUCGUAUUUGAAUAUUAUUUGAAUGAUAUUAUUUGAAUAAU
This 317-nucleotide long non-coding RNA is filed under the name Ananas comosus (pineapple). RNAcentral's name for it is "long non-coding RNA (ACOM_LNC023076)". The record is from RNAcentral. Lineage: Eukaryota; Viridiplantae; Streptophyta; Magnoliopsida; Poales; Bromeliaceae.